This 3056-nucleotide unclassified non-coding RNA is filed under the name Hevea brasiliensis (rubber tree). The record is from RNAcentral. Lineage: Eukaryota; Viridiplantae; Streptophyta; Magnoliopsida; Malpighiales; Euphorbiaceae.
UUUUAAAAAAAGAUCAAAUAUCUAAUUAUUUCACAUCAUAUAGGCAUCAAAUCAAUAUACCUUCAGUUUAUUAAGAUUCUCGUACAGCUAGCUACACAUGAGAAGUUCAAAUACCAACUAAUGAGUAGGAUAAAUGCUUCGAACAAUCUGGUGAAACAGUUCACAGAACAUCAGAAUCCAAUGAUUUAAUUACUUUGCGUCGCCACAUUGCAGUUUCAGGAUCAAACCUGAGUUCCCAUGUUGGCCAGUAAUGUAAAUCUUGCUUCAAUGUGAGCACUCGAGGUUUCCCAUUCAGGUGGAUUGUUCGUACACGAACAAACUCUCCAUGCUCUAUUGUCUUAGUCACAUCGACAAAAGCAUCCAAGUUAGGGGUUGGUUUCCCGUUGACUUCAACUAUCCAUUGAAGAGCAAAGAGACCAUGACGAUGUGCAGGACUCCCAUGACACCACCUUGCCACAUACACUCCAUGGCCUUCUUCAGGCAGAAACCCAAGUGCACGUACGGCUGGAUAAGGUUCUUGGAGGAUACCGCCACACCAAUUUAUUGCUCGUUUGGCUCCAUUUCCAUCCCUCACAUCCGUUCCCACAAGUAGUUCAAUUUCUUUUCCCUGACGGAAAAUUGUCAAGUCUAGUUUUCCAUCAUCCUGAGUGCAAUGGUCUAAAGAUUGGCAUGCAUCUUCAAUGUCACGAAAGCAUGUAACUGGCUGCUUAUUAAUUGCUAAGACCAUGUCCCCUUGUUCCAACAAGUUUUCAGUUUUUGACCCAGCAAAGCAACCUUUGACUCGCAAAACUUGGCGUCUCAGAGGAUCCUUCUUCACGAGGGCCUGGAUCCAUGCAUCACUUAAUCCAAAACUUCGAGCUUUAGAUAGCAAAGUAGGGUAAAGUUCAACUUCCAAUAUUCUUAACCGAGGCAUAGGUCUUUGCAAACCAUUUAUAAGACGAGGAGGUCCGUCGGCACCAGAAAUAAUCUUGCCAAGGACUUGGCUUAUGGUAUAAAUUGGAAUACCUCGGACAAAUUGGUGAUCUUCUGACAAACUACAACCAUACUUGAGCUGCGUUGAAAAGCUUCCCCACAGAGCUUGAACCCUGCCACGCUCAUCAGUCAGCACACCAGAAAAUGUACUUCCAAAAUCAGUGUCAAGCUCAAUCACUUCCAUGUUUGUUGCUCUGUAACGUGGACAAUCAGCAGAACCAAUAUUCACAGCAGCAGAUGGGUUGGUCACAACCGAUUUUCUGGAAGUUGCCUGUAGACUUCUGCUCAAUCCCACAAGAUACACUGAAUCUCCACGACGAAGAGCAGGAUCAGGAAGAAGUUCACAAGCACGAACAGCAGAAGCAGCAGUAGUUCCAAGAGCAGAAGGAUCAUAUGCAACCAGAGCAAAAUUAUGGACAGGGUGGAGGAAAACUACCUCUCCAGGAAUCUCAAUAGGAAAAGCAGCAAAAGAUAGCAUUAUAUCAGAAACUGAUACUGCAACAGUGUUUUUGUCAACUGCAACCAAGCCCAUGUUGUGGGAAUGGUAUACGAUAACACCAGUUCCAAAAAAAUGCUGUGAGUGAACUCCAUCAAGCAUGCAUAAUGAUGGUACAUGGACCUCGAACAUAACAAGAGUAGGCUCUAUUGCACGCUCAGCAACAGAGGCAUUAUUAGACACAGGUGCAGCACCUUGAUCCUCCACAGCCCCAGAUUCAUCAAACCUUUCCUCUCUAUGUCCAUUUAAAGAGCGGCCAAUUAUUACAUCACCAUCCGCAGAUAAGUUUUCUUCCACCCUCCGUUUCUUAGUUCCAGCAUCAGAAUCAUCCUGACUGUUUAGUCCCACUGUAACGUUGUCACAACUAAUCUCUGUUUUGGUAACUCCAUCCAUUGAUUCUUGGCUGACUUGUUGAGGCCUAAGAUCCAUUGCACUAACCUCAGUAGCACAAGAAGAAACACUAUGAUUUGACAAAUCUUGUUUGCCUGGAUGAAUGCCAGAGAAUAGAAGUGGAGACUCAGGUGGCAAGGCAAGUUUAACAGUCCAUAAACCAGAGCUGUCAUCGCGUUUAUAUAUCUGAGGAGGUGCAUACCAUUCAUGGCGGUCAAUUGUGACCAGUACAGACUUUUUCCGGUGACGAUCAUUGUAGCUUAUAUACUCCAAUGGUACUCUUGCACUCCUAGACAACUUAGAUAAAGCAGAAAUUAAUUCUUCAAGGGUCGAUAUAUCUUCUCCGGCAAAUUUUUUAAUGAUGGCAUGGCGAGGAACUCCUGCUCUAAAUAGCAUAUAUCCUGUUUCUGCCACGUAGACAAGACCACAGUGAAAGCGGAAAUUUCGAGCCUGUUGAUAAGAUAGGGGAUGAAUAACUGCACCACUGACUUCCAAGAAGCGGUCAGGAGUAAUUGAAUGCAAAUCCUGAACCAAUAGUUGCACAGUCAUAGGGGUUCCACCCCUUUCUAUUUGAAGCUCAACUUUCUGCCCAACACUGUCAUCAAGUAAAGUCUCCAUCUUCAGGAAUUGAGUAAUCACCUCCCCAUUCAUACGAAUAAGCACAUCACCAGGCUCCAAAUGAUUGUGAGCUGGGCCACCAGGUACCACAGAAUCAACGACAAGCAUUCCAGUCUCACUGGGUGGAGAGGAAUUGCGCACCAACUGCUCUGUGGCACUAAGGAGGCCAAGCCGGCGAGUUUCAUCAUAUCCUUUGUGGAGAAAAGUUACCUGAAGCGUACCACGAGGAAUAGUAACAGCCUCCCAUUUAUUUGUGGUAAGAUUCAAUCCUUCCUGUAAGAAUUCCAGUGCCCUGACAACUCGUUCUAAUGGCAAGAAAAAUGCAGAAGCACUUGAUGACUUGCUUCCAGCAUUCAAAGCGACAGCUCUCCCUUGCCAAUUUAUUACAGGGGAGCCACUUGAACCACCUUUUGUCCCAGAAGCAGCUUGCAUGUAGAACGUGUUGAAGUCAUUGUAUCCAUCCUUUUUAUAAUGCGGAGCAUCUCUGUCAAGUCGAGCAAGGGUUCCAGCUAAAAUAGAUACCUGCAUAAAUCCAGAUUAAAGCAAAGAGAAAUAGGAUACGAAAAUUUCUUAAGAAAAU